AUCUUCCUUCAUUUGAUUGGAAAGCUAAUCCUGGGAAUUCUGU
Molecule: non-coding RNA, 43 nt
Filed under: Plasmodium falciparum 3D7
Lineage: Eukaryota; Apicomplexa; Aconoidasida; Haemosporida; Plasmodiidae
Source: RNAcentral